CUGGACGAGCGGCGAGACGGGUGAGAUAAUGUCUGGGAAACUGCCUGAUGGAGGGGGAUAACUACUGGAAACGGUAGCUAAUACCGCAUAACGUCGCAAGACCAAAGAGGGGGACCUUCGGGCCUCUUGCCAUCAGAUGUGCCCAGAUGGGAUUAGCUAGUAGGUGGGGUAACGGCUCACCUAGGCGACGAUCCCUAGCUGGUCUGAGAGGAUGACCAGCCACACUGGAACUGAGACACGGUCCAGACUCCUACGGGAGGCAGCAGUGGGGAAUAUUGCACAAUGGGCGCAAGCCUGAUGCAGCCAUGCCGCGUGUAUGAAGAAGGCCUUCGGGUUGUAAAGCACUUUCAGCGGGGAGGAAGGUGGUGAGSUUAAUAACCUCAUCAAUUGACGUUACCCGCAGAAGAAGCACCGGCUAACUCCGUGCCAGCAGCCGCGGUAAUACGGAGGGUGCAAGCGUUAAUCGGAAUUACUGGGCGUAAAGCGCACGCAGGCGGUCUGUCAAGUCAGAUGUGAAAUCCCCGGGCUCAACCUGGGAACUGCAUUUGAAACUGGCAGGCUAGAGUCUUGUAGAGGGGGGUAGAAUUCCAGGUGUAGCGGUGAAAUGCGUAGAGAUCUGGAGGAAUACCGGUGGCG
This 636-nucleotide ribosomal RNA is filed under the name Enterobacter sp. INBio2890B. Its description in RNAcentral is "bacterial SSU rRNA". It matches the Rfam family "Bacterial small subunit ribosomal RNA", at positions 87 to 717 of the family's 1533-position model. Lineage: Bacteria; Pseudomonadati; Pseudomonadota; Gammaproteobacteria; Enterobacterales; Enterobacteriaceae. The record is from RNAcentral.